RNAcentral lists this ribosomal RNA (375 nucleotides) under uncultured bacterium. Its description in RNAcentral is "bacterial SSU rRNA". It matches the Rfam family "Bacterial small subunit ribosomal RNA", at positions 521 to 896 of the family's 1533-position model. The record is from RNAcentral.
UAAUACGUAGGGUGCGAGCGUUAAUCGGAAUUACUGGGCGUAAAGCGUGCGCAGGCGGUUUUGUAAGCCAGAUGUGAAAGCCCCGGGCUUAACCUGGGAAUGGCAUUUGGGACUGCAAGGCUUGAGUGCGGCAGAGGAGACUGGAAUUCCUGGUGUAGCAGUGAAAUGCGUAGAUAUCAGGAGGAAUACCGAUGGCGAAGGCAGGUCUCUGGGCUGACACUGACGCUCAUGCACGAAAGCGUGGGGAGCAAACAGGAUUAGAUACCCUGGUAGUCCACGCCCUAAACGAUGUCUACUAGUUGUCGGGUCUUAAUUGACUUGGUAACGCAGCUAACGCGUGAAGUAGACCGCCUGGGGAGUACGGUCGCAAGAUUA